Molecule: long non-coding RNA, 373 nt
Filed under: Elaeis guineensis (African oil palm)
Lineage: Eukaryota; Viridiplantae; Streptophyta; Magnoliopsida; Arecales; Arecaceae
Description: long non-coding RNA (EGUI_LNC052088)
Source: RNAcentral
CAUAGAAGUAUUAAUUUAUGGAUCAAAUUAUCUUUAUUCUUUUAAAAUUGAUACUUCUUUAUAUAUUUUACAAAAAAGAGCUGCACCAACAUGAAGAGCCUGAUCUGCAGGCUUAGAGGGAUCAAACGAGACUAAAAAUGGAGUUAAAAUAGAUUUAAAUUCAAAGCCAAAAGAUAAUCAAAUCCAAUACCCAAGUUGGUGGUCCACCAUGGACCACUUGGUCCAUAAGAAAGUUGAUGAGCUGUGAAAUGCUACAGUAAUUUUUACAUGGCUCACAGAGGGUUCUGGCAGGAUGUAUGGGAUUCAAAUCAAAGAUAGGAUACCUGAGGGGUUUGUGAAACAAACAAAGCUUGGAUUCAAAUGGGCUUAAGAG